RNAcentral lists this ribosomal RNA (194 nucleotides) under uncultured bacterium. Its description in RNAcentral is "partial 16S ribosomal RNA". It matches the Rfam family "Bacterial small subunit ribosomal RNA", at positions 338 to 524 of the family's 1533-position model. The record is from RNAcentral.
CCUACGGGAGGCAGCAGUAGGGAAUAUUGGACAAUGGGCGAAAGCCUGAUCCAGCCAUGCCGCGUGUGUGAAGAAGGUCUUCGGAUUGUAAAGCACUUUAAGUUGGGAGGAAGGGCAGUAAGUUAAUACCUUGCUGUUUUGACGUUACCGACAGAAUAAGCACCGGCUAACUUCGUGCCAGCAGCCGCGGUAAU